Oncorhynchus tshawytscha (Chinook salmon) is the source of this 434-nucleotide long non-coding RNA. RefSeq lists it as uncharacterized. Lineage: Eukaryota; Metazoa; Chordata; Actinopteri; Salmoniformes; Salmonidae. The transcript is spliced from 4 exons. The record is from RefSeq and is a predicted model, not a curated record.
GCUCCUCGAGGGGGUAACCCUGGAACUACAGAACAAUGCAUUCUGGAAGGUGGGGUUGAACGUAAAGCUGUCUAUCGCCACUCUGUAAACCGCAAUUCCCCCCGGAGUGAAAGUGGCCUCGUUCUCAGGCAUAUCAGGACUGCAGGAUACCAUGGAAAAUAAUGAAUCUACGAGAGGAGGAAGAUCUUUCUCUAUAGCUGAUUCGUGUGGUGGACGCAUGCGCCAGGAUGUGCCCUCCAAUCGGCUUUUUGGGAUCAGCUUGGAACCUGACAGAGACAAGAGAAACACUCAGAUCAGAAUUACAGGCCAAAAUCUGUCAGGCCAAAAAUGUGGCCAAGUGGUUCCCAUAUAAAUCUGCAAGAGCUGUGGCCAGACCUUCAGAGAUCUUCUGCAGACGAGAGAGCAUCUGGGCCAGCUUCUGUUGUUUCUCUGCC